Molecule: ribosomal RNA, 253 nt
Filed under: uncultured bacterium
Lineage: Bacteria
Description: partial 16S ribosomal RNA
Rfam family: Bacterial small subunit ribosomal RNA
Source: RNAcentral
GACGUAGGGGGCUAGCGUUGUUCGGAAUUACUGGGCGUAAAGAGCGCGCAGGCGGUCGUUCAAGUCGCGUGUGAAAGCCCCCGGCUCAACUGGGGAGGGUCACGCGAUACUGAUCGACUCGAAGGCAGGAGAGGGAAGUGGAAUUCCCGGUGUAGUGGUGAAAUGCGUAGAUAUCGGGAGGAACACCAGUGGCGAAGGCGACUUCCUGGCCUGUUCUUGACGCUGAGGCGCGAAAGCUAGGGGAGCAAACGGG